Molecule: ribosomal RNA, 253 nt
Filed under: uncultured bacterium
Lineage: Bacteria
Description: partial 16S ribosomal RNA
Rfam family: Bacterial small subunit ribosomal RNA
Source: RNAcentral
UACAGAGGUCCCAAGCGUUGUUCGGAUUCACUGGGCGUAAAGGGUGCGUAGGUGGCCAGGUAAGUUUGGUGUGAAAGCUCGGAGCUUAACUCCGAAAUGUCAUUGAAUACUAUCUGGCUGGAGGGUCGGAGGGGAGACUGGAAUUCUCGGUGUAGCAGUGAAAUGCGUAGAUAUCGAGAGGAACACCAGUGGCGAAGGCGAGUCUCUGGACGACUCCUGACACUGAGGCACGAAAGCCGGGGGAGCAAACAGG